Molecule: ribosomal RNA, 253 nt
Filed under: uncultured bacterium
Lineage: Bacteria
Description: partial 16S ribosomal RNA
Rfam family: Bacterial small subunit ribosomal RNA
Source: RNAcentral
UACGGAGGGUGCAAGCGUUAAUCGGAAUUACUGGGCGUAAAGCGCGCGUAGGCGGUUUCUUAAGUCGGAUGUGAAAGCCCCGGGCUCAACCUGGGAACUGCAUCCGAUACUGGAAGACUAGAAUGCGGGAGAGGGAGGUAGAAUUCCAUGUGUAGCAGUGAAAUGCGUAGAUAUAUGGAGGAAUACCAGUGGCGAAGGCGGCCUCCUGGCUCGACAUUGACGCUGAGGUGCGAAAGCGUGGGGAGCAAACGGG